UCUGUGAUCAUAUAUAUGCCAUGCUCAGACAUGGGAUUUGAAGAACGUACAAGUCAUCUUCUUUCUGUAGAAGGAUACUGAAGGUUUGAAUGUUUCCUUCUGCCACAUCAUCUGUAUGCUUAGUGAUGACUUUGUUUUUGUUUUUUUUGUUUUUCAGCUCAGUCAUCUUUCAUGAAGAGGAAGCAGACACCAGAAUGGAGAAGCCCCUCAGUAGAUUUGAGCUGUGAGCGCUUCUUUGGCAGUGUCUUAGCUGGUUGUUGUGAACAGUCUGAACAAAGCAAUCAGCAAGUAUACUGCCGCAGAAACGUCUCACCCUGUGUUUAGAGGGCACACUUCUACGACACCAAAACCAUCAUUCUAGGGUCUCUCCGGCAUUUCAUCCCACAUGGACAGCUGUAUAAAAAGCAAAAUUACUUAUGAAAACGAAAAGCAGCCUGGGAAUCAAAAGCCUAAAUGUCAUUUAUGAAAAUCUGGGUUCAGAUGCAUCCACUUUAAUGUUUGGAUGUUCAGUGCAAAGAACCAGUGUUUAUGCCUGUGGAUUCAAUAUUUAAAGGGAUGGCUACAAAUCCUAGGUUCUAGUCCACAUUACUUGGUGAUAUACAUCUUGACUAAACACCAACCAUUUCACUCACUUCUGGCCAGUCUGCACAUACUAGAACCCUAUGUGUGUUAGUUUAUAACCAGUUUGUCUUUCUUGACACAGGUACCGUAUGUGUCACACUCUCAUCUUCUGAUGACAAAGGAUUUUUUAUUUCCUAAUUUGGAGAGUCCCCAUCUUAUUUACAGUACUCCCUUUAUGAUGCAGAAUCCUCUAUAGGGAGAGGAAGUGAGAUGGUAAACCGAUGACCUUUGUUACCAGAAAAUCUCUGCUGCACGUGUUAAGUUACGACAGAUUACACUGUCAGUUAGUGGAGAUGAGUCUGCUGAUCUGGAGCUGACCUCCCCUGCAUGAAGAUUCAUAGCAGGCAGCAUGAGCACGUGCUUCAGCUCACUACUGACUGAACAGAAAACAGGCAGAAAAAUGAGAAUGGCAGAUUAGUGCCAUUUAACAUCGUGAUGGGCGCAUACUCAAGGGGAGGCAUGUGCCCAUCCACAAUAUUUAAAAAUAACAGAUAGUGAUGGACCAAGCAGAUGUUCCACAUACCUCAUAUAUAUAUUAUAUAAAAUAGUAAAAUGAGUCAGGUAUGCAUUAUCAGCUGGACUUAAGAAAAGCAAUUGGAAGGAAUGUCCUCGUGUGAGUAUUACAUUGUAGGUUGCCCACAGAUUUGUAUUUAACUUUCAGCCUGACUUGUCUAUUGCUUAAACCUAUUACCGUACAGUAUAUAGAUAUGGUAUAUUCACCUGCGGUGGGGUAGCGCCCUGCCCAGGCUUUGUUUCCUGCCUUAUGCCCUGUGUUGGCUGGGAUUGGCUCCAGCAGAGCCCCCGUGACCCUGUAGUUAGGAUAUAGCAUGUUGGAUAAUGGAUGGAUGGAUAUAUAUUCACACUCUCCCCACGUCCAUGUAGAUUUCCUUCAAAUACCCAGGUUUGCCCUCACAUAUCCAAAACAUUCAUUGGUGAUGCUAAAAUAGGCUGACACAGGUAAGUGUGGGUUUUUUCCCCCCAGGUGAGGUGGCAUCUCACUCAAGAGUUCACUCCCGACUCCAUAGCCCAGUAGUAUACACCCAUUCUCUACAUAAUCCUGACAUGGAAUGAAUUGGCCUGGAAAGUGAAUAAAUGAAUCCAUACAAAUGAUAAUGUAAUUGCAGUUAGUCUUGAGGAUUUUAAAUGUUCCAGCAGUAAUGCUCCAGCAUGUCGCAGUUUUAAAAAUCAUUCAUUUUGAUAAGUGUUGUCUUCCUGCCAAUUCCAUAUCUAAAGCUAAGGUACACACCGUAAAAACAAAAGCUAGGCCUGUAGUGUCAUCCAUAUCUGAGCCAAAACAGCCUGCUUUACAUCCAUAGGCAGCCAAUCCUAAUCCCUUGUUGCAGAGUGACAGGUUACACAGGCCCAAAAAGAUGGAGCCAAAGACUUUAAAAAUAUUCACAAAAAGGGGAAGAGAGAAAAACAUAAAACCAAAAAAGAGCUUGUGCCGUAACAACAGGCAACACUGAAUAGCCAUGGUGCUCGUGAGGAUCGGUUUCCUUGUAUGGGUCCUUGCUCCCACUAUUACCAGUGUAAUCACUGGUCCAUUGUGAUUCUGUCUUGGAAUAAGAUGGUUUGGAAAUAAAUCAUCUAGUUUACAAGCUUCUACUUUGCCCCUUUUUAUAAUUGAUUUUGAAGUUGCCUCUUCUCUAUUAGACAUGAACCACUAAACCCCCAAUUCUCUAAAGAAUCGCAAAUCCAAGAAUGGCAGUUACUUUCUGUUCCCUCUAAUCUUUGUAGGGAUGUAAGAUCAUGGAGGGUGGGAGCGUCCUGGGAAAGUUUUCAUUUAAUGAAAUAAAUAUAUUUGUAGUAAAGCUGUUUCUUUUUGGAGCCGUGACUCGUUUGGUUCUGGUGUUUCAAAAGCGUGUUGUAGGCGCCUUCGUUCAUUGUUUUUAUCCAUGCAGCCUCGUUUUUGUUUUUCUAUGGAUGUGUUAUUAGCUACAAGUCGCUUGCUGUUAGGAAUCAUAAUUGAACACCUGACCGCAGGCACUGUGGAGUAGCUGACUGGUGGCACUGUCAGUAGUCAUCACAACCUCAAGUUUAAAUACAUACACAUAUAUAGAUAGACGCCGCAUUCACGGUGUUUCCCAGUAGACACGAUACGUCAGCCUUAUUGCAAGUGGCAAAAGUGCCAUUUAAACUAAUACAGGUAGACGUGGAAACCGGGUUUUCUGAUGAAAAAACAAUAACAUUUAAAACAGUAUCGUUUACAUACAUCAGAUUUUGGCGAAUCGUUUAAAUGUAAUUAUUUAUAUCCAUUUAUACACUAAUAAUGGCAAUUAUUAAAUAAUAAUAAUAAUUAUUAUUAAUCAUUCCUCCCAUAUAAGUAACAUUUCGGGGACUGCCUUCUUCUAUCUUCGAAACAUUUCCAGACUUUGUCCUGUUCUUACGCAACACAGUACUGAAGUAUUGUUUUAGUCACGUCACAUAUAGAUUAUCGUAAUGGUAUUCUAUCUGGCAUCCCACAAAAACUUAUCCAUCGCUUAGAACUUCUUCAAAAUUCUGCUACCAGGAUAAUAUCCUGCUGUUGUAAAUCCACUGAACAUAUUACACCUAUUCUCUCUCAACUUCACUGGCUCCCUGUUAACUACAGAAUACAAUACUAAAUACCGCUCUUAACAUUUAAAGCUCUCCACAACCUCACUGAUCUCCUCCAGACUUACACUCCUCUCGCUCACUCAGAUCUUGUAAUUCGAGAGUAUUCAGUCUGGCAAUAUGGUGCAGCCUUAGUUUAUGGAAGACAGACACAACUAAAGACAGGAGCAUAAAAUGAUGGUUGUCAAUUUCAAACUGUGUUUCCUCAAUGUGCUUUUUGAGAAAAAACAUCAUCAAGUUUGAGAAAUGUUAACAGCCAACAACAAUCUACAUAGUGACUAAAUACAUUUAGCCAAAACGUUGUUUGGAGGCUCACCUGGGCACAUAAAUGCAUAGCUUUGCUAGCUUAGCCUGGCUUAGCUAAAGUAAAGAUUAUAAAAGGGGAUUUUCUAACGGCCAAAUAUAACCAAAACAAUUGUUCAGCCUUACCUAUGAAAUGUAAUCCCCCGGGAUCUGGUUUGGAGCGUACAGCAGUUUGUACAAUCCCAAGCAGCACAUUAUUCAUUACUUCACUCCACAGCAGUGCCACUCACAAUAUGGCGGCGACGUUGACGUACGAUUCUGCUAGUCAUGAGGCGUCUAGUUAUUCUAUGUCUAUGUUUAAAUAUGUCACCAUGGCAACUUGUUGGCAUGCACACUUUACCUCAAGUUUAGUUUACAGGUUGUGUUGUGUUGUUUGGGCGCUACUUACUGACUUUGGGAAGCAUCCGUGCAUAUAUACAACCUUUGUAAACAUUACUAAAUGAAGGUUUUAUAUGCGGCGGUGUGCUCGUUCGGGCGGUGGUUGUAUUGUGACCUGAAGUUUAGUUUACAGGUUGUGUUGUGUUGUUUGGGCGCUACCUACUGAGUCUGGGAAGCCGCUGGGUUUGAAUCUGGGGCGCUGAGUCACAGUGCGCGUGCGCUUCAAUGUGUCUGGCAACCUGCGUCCGUCGUCCUGCGUCCAUGCAUAUAUGCAACCUUCGUUUAGUAAUAUAGAUUAUCUCUCCUUUUCUUCACUGUAAUGUCUCAUUCUUCAAAUUAUUCAGUUGGUUGUUGACUCUUAAUUUGUCCUGAUGUUAGUGUUGGUGCCUUUAUAUGAACUGGUAUUGCAUCCCAACAGUUACCAAGAUAGGAUAAAUUGGAAUAAGUUAGUCUGAAAAAUUAAUAUACAGUAUGAAUCAAUAAUUAAAGCUCAGUCGCCAGCAGUUGUAAUGACACCUUUGGUCUGCUAAAAAUGAAAUGUUGUACCUUUUCGAUAUUGUAAAGUCUCAUUUUUCAUAUUAUUCAGUUGAUUGAUAACUCUAAAUCAGUCUGGCACUACUGGAUGUGCCUUUUGAUGGACCAGCACUCCAUUCAGUGUUGUGGUCCUGCCUUGAUCCUGAUGUGGUCAGGAUAGGCUUUGUCCUCAUGUCCAGAAAAUGGAUUGAUCCAUGGAUGGAUUCCUUUCAUAAUGCUUGAAGUCAACCUUUGUGGAUGACCCCUUCAGUUUUGAUUCUUUGGUAAAACUGGUCCAGUACCUUUUAAUUUCAUCAGUUCAAUGUCCAUGCACACAGGAAUAGGGCACCAAAUAUUGGAUCGCCAUAGGGUUCUUAAUCAGACUAAUAGAUGUGUUGGCACACCCAGCUAUAAAGCCUUCCUCACUUGUUUAAUUCCUCUCUUUCUCUCAUGUUUGCUCUCACACUUUUCUUUCGCCUGGUUCUCUGCCAGCGAGCCACUAUCCCAGCUGGCCUCCCAAUUCAAGUCUCAUUCGACUUGUGGCAGCCCACAAAGACUCAUGACUAGCACUUGACUGAGGUCAUAAAUAGUCCCAAAUUGCUUCAGUCUACUUAACACUUCUGCCUUCCCUCACCACCUCCUGUUUUUAUACCCAUUUCAGCCAUGGUACUGAAUGAGCUAGAAGUUGAUUUUAAAUGUUUGCUCUCCUGGCCCUCUUCAAUAGCAGAAAGGUCCUGUGCACUCAUGCACUCCAGCCAGUUUAGAGUGGCCAAUCAGCCUGACCUCUGAUGUGGGCAGAAAACUAAGAACUGGAUAAAAGUACACAGAAACAAAGGGGGAACAUGUAAAUGCCACACAGGUAGUGACCAGGCCAGGAUUUGAUCGCAGCACUCUGGAGUUGUGAGGCAGUAGCACCAACCACUGCACUAUACUAUGCUAAUUUUAUUGAUGCCUUUUUUUAAUUUUUAUGAAUUUGCUUUGCACCUUACAUGUAGUGUACAAAUAUAAACUAGAAUUUGAAGUAACAUUUCAGUCAGCACAACACAUUUGUGCUUGUGAACCAAAGAGGCAGCCAACACCAUUUGUACUUUCCUAUUGUUCAAAAACCUGAUUAGAUUCAUGGGAUGAAAGGAUUGAAUGUCACCCAAAGCAUGGCACGUCGCCAGUGAGGAGGAAGUGGUAUCCAUUACACAGAAAAUGUGACAAGUCCGUGCUGAUUCUUAUCUUGUAAGCAAGAACCCUAGAUGUAUUCACACGUAACUUGUGUAAUCUCGUCUUUUGAGCUUGUAUUUUUAUAAAUGAAUAUUCCUUA
Molecule: long non-coding RNA, 5719 nt
Organism: Erpetoichthys calabaricus (reedfish)
Lineage: Eukaryota; Metazoa; Chordata; Cladistia; Polypteriformes; Polypteridae
Exons: 2
Source: RefSeq, a predicted model, not a curated record